RNAcentral lists this ribosomal RNA (433 nucleotides) under uncultured bacterium. RNAcentral's name for it is "partial 16S ribosomal RNA". It matches the Rfam family "Bacterial small subunit ribosomal RNA", at positions 29 to 507 of the family's 1533-position model. The record is from RNAcentral.
AACGAACGCUGGCGGCAUGCCUAACACAUGCAAGUCGAACGAGAACUUCGGGUCUAGUGGCCCACGGGUGCGUAACGCGUGGGAACAUGCCCAUAGGUUCGGAAUAACUCGCCGACAGGGAUGCUAAUACCAGAUAACGUCUUCGGCCGAAUGCCUUAUCGCCUUUCGAUGGGCCCGCGUUGGAUUAGCUUGUUGGUAGGGUAAAAGCCUACCAAGGCGACGAUUCAUAGCUGGUCUGAGUGGCUGAUCAGCCACACUGGAACUGCGGCACGGCCCAGACCCCUACGCGAGGCAGCAGUGUGGAGUAUUGAACGAUGAGCGAAGGCCUGAUCCAGCAGUGCGGCGGAAGUGGUGAAGGCCUUAGGAUAGUAAAGCUCGCAUGCCCGAGAUGAUAAUGACGGUACCGGGAGAAAAAGCUCCGGCUAACUCCGUG